AUGGCCUGGUGGUGGAUAGGGAGGAGUGGAUAGUGGAAGAGAGAUGUGGAGAGUAGGAUGGUGGAAGGGGGAGGUGGAGGUGGCUAUGGCGGACGUGACUGGGUUGAGGUGGUGGUUGUGGUGGUGUUUGGUAUGGUUGGAAUGGUUGUAGAGGGUGUUGGUAGUGGUGGUGAACGUGACUGGCUUAUGUUAAAGGUGGUUGUGGUUGUUGGGGAUGGUGGUGGUUGUGUGACAGUGGUGGGUGCAGCGGACGCAACGAUGUUGUGGUUGUUGGGUGUGGUUGAGGAUUGCGAUGGUGGUGGUGGUGGAGGUGGUAGGUGGCGGUGGUCGUAGUCGGAGCGGGCUAAUUGGUGUUGGUGGUGGUGUAAAAAGGUGUUUAUCGGACGGAGUGGAAGUGGUGGUGGUGGCGGUGAUACGAUUAUCAGGGAUGAGAGAGAGAGAGAGAGAGAGAGAGAGAGAGAGAGAGAGAGUGUGUGUGUGUGUGUGUGUGUGUGUGUGUACUCCUAUAAUCAGCAAAUUGCAGUCACUCGUUCGCUUGUUUCACCUCCCUGUUUCAGGCCUUCUCUCCCCUUCCCUUCCUCCUCGCUCCCUUCCUAGCCUGCCCGCCACCCUCUCCCCGCUUUUCCCUGCCUGUCCUCCCCUGCUCCUCGUGUCCCAGGUGACCCAUGAACUACCUCUAACAAUGGUGAUGAAGAACCAGAAGUGGGUUGUAGGUGACGAGAUAACUAUCCCAGGUCAUCCCGGAAGUGGCGAGGUGACCCCAUACAGCUCCACAAGGUCGUGGAGGACGCCAGAUAUAGCCACGUGGUCGCCUACACUCAGCCAUCCACCUCACCUGCCCCAGACUGCUACCCGGACACCAUCCAGCCACAAGAACCCAGAUAAGCACUUCCGGGGUCCUUGGUUGUGGUUAGCUAGCUAGUUUGUUUAGGGGUCACUUGCUGUACAUAGGAACCCUCCUCGGUCUGCUGCUAUUUUUUUUAUUUUUAUUUUUGAGGUGUAACGCUGUCCUCUACGUGAGAGUGAUAGUGUUUAUCUUUAUUUAUUUAUUUUUUUUUUCCUGAAGACCAGUUCUGAGGUUAUCUUGGAGGUUAACGGAGAAGAGUUCUUCACACCUGUGUUUGUUGUUUUAUUUUAUUUUUUUAUUGGUCACUUUUUGUUUUUUGUUGUGAUUGUUAUUAAUUUUAUUUAUUUGUAUUGAAAUAUGUGAGUGUGAAUGCAGCACAAUAUAUAAAGGUGUGCAUUCCAGAGUGAAAGGAAGGCGUGCACAGGGUAGAGUGCACAGGAUGCAGUGCCUUGUUUUUAUCACCAGACCUUGAUUGAUUGAAGCAAAUGGAAACUUUGGUAUAAAUUGUUAUCUUUCCAAGGGUUGAGAAGAACAUGGUCGUGGUUCAAGAGAAGCCACUACAGCCACUCCCUGACAAGCCUUCCACACCGACAGUGGCAGCAGACACACAAGAGAGGAUGGUGUGGUGGACAAGAGGAUGCAGGGAGACAGCAGACAGAAUGGAAGCUACAGAUGAAAGAAGAGCAGGUCAAGCCAUGGCAGCAGACACAUAGACAGACAGAUUGGAUAAGAAAGAAGUAUUAUUUAGUGAGAUAUGUACACACACUAGCAACAGUUUUCACCUGUAGCACCAGAAACAGUCUUCCUCACACGAACCGUUUCACUGCCGGGACUUGAAGGCUGAUGAAGCAGUGCGGCGGAGGUCACGCCUCUCAGAGUGUUUAUACUUGUUGUCAACACCGCCAUAACUAAUACAAACUCUUUAGUGCAGGUAGUUAAAUAACUGCAAUCAUUGUUCCAGAUUCCUAAAUUCACAAAGUGCAUAACUCAUUCCAAGUUUUUAUUGCAGAUAAUUAAAGUUUUAGUGAAAUAAUUAUUCCUAUUCCUAAUGUUGUGUGGUGCAUUAUCUCAGACAGGCCCACUGGAAGCUGUCAGAGUGCUGUGGCACGUGGCAAGAACCAAGUGUUCAGGAGCACACACUGUCCCUUCACCAGUCAGCAGAUCUGGGCGGCUUGGAAGCCUCACUACAAACUGAAGACCCGUUCACUUGAAGGACACAGUUGGAGUCGGACACAAGAUCCAAGAGGGAGUUAUUUUUAAACGAGAGCUUCAGGCAAAAAAUUCGAGUGGAUUUUCAACUCUAAAAAUAACUUUUUUUGGGGGGAUAUUUUGAAGCUUCUUUAUCUUGAAAAAUAACUCCAGAUAUUAUGACUCUAGCUGGAAGUUGACCUGAGCAAUGUAGGGUUUGCUGCAGUGAGAUUACCAAGGCACGAGUGUCUGGGAUUUAAAGAUGAUGGAUAUGUGUCCUGUGUGCUGCUGUGCUGGGAGGAGAGGAGCAGCAGCAGUCGUGGGGCUCUGCUCCCGCUGUCACUGGUGCAACUGUUCACUCCUGCAGCUACCUUCCCUCAACAUACUGUGUCUUCCCACACAUGCAAUGAACAACUAUGAACAAUACUUCUCCUGCGAUGAGGAACAGUGAAUAACAACACCUCUCUCUCUCUCUCUCUCUCUCUCUCUCUCUCUCUCUCUCUCUCUCUCUCUCUCUCUCUCUCUCUCUCUCUCUCUCUC
Scylla paramamosain (green mud crab) is the source of this 2575-nucleotide long non-coding RNA. RefSeq lists it as uncharacterized. NCBI's taxonomy places the organism in Eukaryota, Metazoa, Arthropoda, Malacostraca, Decapoda, Portunidae. The transcript is spliced from 6 exons. The record is from RefSeq and is a predicted model, not a curated record.